Molecule: ribosomal RNA, 475 nt
Filed under: Coloceras doreyanus
Lineage: Eukaryota; Metazoa; Arthropoda; Insecta; Psocodea; Philopteridae
Description: partial 16S ribosomal RNA
Rfam family: Bacterial large subunit ribosomal RNA
Source: RNAcentral
UCCUCAUUAUAUUAUUUGAGGUAGGACCUGCUCAAUGCGAAAAGUAAAUAGCCGCAGUAUUCUGACUGUGCUAAGGUAGCAUAAUAAAUUGGCUUUUAAUUGGAGUCUGGGAUGAAUGGUUUGACAAGGAUUUGACUGUCUUAAAAUAAAAAGUUUUGAAAUUUAAUUAUCUGUAAAAAUGCGGAUAUAAUAGAGAGGGACGAGAAGACCCUAUAGAUCUUUAAUAAACUGAAAAGAAAUUUGAAGUUUUUCAGUUUAUUUUAUUUGGGGAAAAUCUUGAAAUUAGAAAACUUCGGUUAAAAAUUAAUGUAAAAUCCUAAAUGGUUAAUUUUUGAUCCACAAUUUAAUGUGAAAAAAUGAAAAAGUUACCUUAGGGAUAACAGGACAAUGAUUUUCUUGGAGAUCUUAUCUAAGAAGACGUUUGUUACCUCGAUGUUGAAUUAAGUUAUCUAAUAAAAGAAGAAAUUUAUAUAGU